GUUGGUUUGCUCAGUGGUAGAGUGCAUGCUUUGUACGUAUGAUGUCCAGGCUUCGAUCCCCAGCUUCUACC
Dallia pectoralis (Alaska blackfish) is the source of this 71-nucleotide non-coding RNA. Lineage: Eukaryota; Metazoa; Chordata; Actinopteri; Esociformes; Umbridae. The record is from the annotation of a GenBank genome assembly.